GAUGAACGCUGGCGGCGUGCCUAAUACAUGCAAGUCGAGCGAACGGACGAGAAGCUUGCUUCUCUGAUGUUAGCGGCGGACGGGUGAGUAACACGUGGAUAACCUACCUAUAAGACUGGGAUAACUUCGGGAAACCGGAGCUAAUACCGGAUAAUAUUUUGAACCGCAUGGUUCAAAAGUGAAAGACGGUCUUGCUGUCACUUAUAGAUGGAUCCGCGCUGCAUUAGCUAGUUGGUAAGGUAACGGCUUACCAAGGCAACGAUGCAUAGCCGACCUGAGAGGGUGAUCGGCCACACUGGAACUGAGACACGGUCCAGACUCCUACGGGAGGCAGCAGUAGGGAAUCUUCCGCAAUGGGCGAAAGCCUGACGGAGCAACGCCGCAUGAGUGAUGAAGGUCUUCGGAUCGUAAAACUCUGUUAUUAGGGAAGAACAUAUGUGUAAGUAACUGUACACAUCUUGACGGUACCUAAUCAGAAAGCCACGGCUAACUACGUG
RNAcentral lists this ribosomal RNA (497 nucleotides) under uncultured bacterium. RNAcentral's name for it is "partial 16S ribosomal RNA". It matches the Rfam family "Bacterial small subunit ribosomal RNA", at positions 28 to 507 of the family's 1533-position model. The record is from RNAcentral.